UGGGGAAUCAUAGACAAUGGGCGCAAGCCUGAUCUUGCCAUGCCGCGUGAGCGAUGAAGGCCUUAGGGUUGUAAAGCUCUUUCACCCGUGAAGAUAAUGACGGUAGCGGGAGAAGAAGCCCCGGCUAACUCCGUGCCAGCAGCCGCGGUAAUACGGAGGGGGCUAGCGUUGUUCGGAAUUACUGGGCGUAAAGCGCACGUAGGCGGACCAUUAAGUCGGGGGUGAAAGCCCAGGGCUCAACCCUGGAAUUGCCCUCGGUACUGGUGGUCUGGAGAACGGGAGAGGCGAGUGGAAUUCCGAGUGUAGAGGUGAAAUUCGUAGAUAUUCGGAGGAACACCAGUGGCGAAGGCGGCUCGCUGGCCCGUUUCUGACGCUGAGGUGCGAAAGCGUGGGGAGCAAACA
RNAcentral lists this ribosomal RNA (402 nucleotides) under uncultured bacterium. Its description in RNAcentral is "bacterial SSU rRNA". It matches the Rfam family "Bacterial small subunit ribosomal RNA", at positions 355 to 774 of the family's 1533-position model. The record is from RNAcentral.